CCCAGCAACAAGUGGCGUCAUCCAGCAACAGUGGAGACAGCCAGGCCUUCUCACUCUUCCAGAGAGACACUCGCUUCCUUGCUCCAGCACCAUCUUGGUUGGAAAGAGAGCUCCAGUGUGUCACAGGGUGUCACAGGGCCACCCAAGCUCAACACUGACCCAUGGCCAAUGGCUAUCUUCGAGGUGCCAUGAUCCUGGCGCUCUCAAAGGCGGUGUUCACCCCGGGAUACCUUCCUUCUUCCCAUCCCUCACACUCAGCAGCCUAUGGAGAAGGGCGAUGGCCCCACUGACAGGCUUCCUGCCUCCACUCCCAUGGACUCUCUCUCUGUCCCUGGUGAGAUCCCAUUGUCUCACCCCUCUGUCCAGGGCGCUCAGGUGUUUACCCCAUUAAUUAGAAGGCACACAGGAGAUGCCUGUGCCAGGAAGAAGCUGCCUCAAAGGGUAGGUUGGUGCGUGGGUGGGUAGGGGUUCCUCGAACCUCAGCCUAGAUACCCCACCCCAUCCCCCUACCUCCACCCUGCACCAAGGCCAGGCAUUUGAGUCAAAAUGUCCUGAGCACUCUGAGACUUGGAAGUGUUCAAGGGUCUGCUGUGGAAUGUCACUCUGGAAUGCGCCCCACCCCCCAAGGCAUUCCCUCCCCCAGUCACAGUUGAAGGCACCGGGGUGGGGGCGGCGGGGAGAGGAAGCUUCAGGAGCACACCUUACUUCCACAUAUUCUCCUCCCCACGGGCUUUAGGAUCUGGAUCGUGAAGUCUAGAUGGGGUCUCGCUGUGUUGCCCAGGCUGGAGUGCCGUGGCUAUUCACAGGUGCAAUCCCACAGCUAAUCAGCACGGGAGUUUUGACCUGCUCCGUUUCUGACCUGGGCCAGUUCACCCCUCCUUAGGCAACCUGGUGGUCCCCCACUCCCGGGAGGAUUGAUGCCAAACUUAGUAGAGACACCCGAUUGGCAGCCCAGAACUCCUGGGCUCAAGUGAUCCUCAUACCUCAGCCUCCCGAGUAGCUAGGACUACAGGCACACGCCCCCGGCCCGGAUAACGCCCUCUUUCUAGAAAAUGGGGAGCAGAUGGGACACCUUUCAACCCACUCUACCCCAGCCACCCUGUUCCUGUUACGUAAUAUUGCUGUGGAACAAAUAACAUCCAAACUUAGUGGCUUCAAACAGCAACAACCAUCUUAUUACCUCCCAUGGUUUCUUUGGGCUAGGAGUCCAGGCAGGGCCUGGCUGGGCAUGAUCUUAGCUCCCAGCAGCCUCCUCCCAGGCCUAAGUGAUCCUCCCAUCUCAGCCUCCCGAGUAGCUGGGACUACAGGCGUGUACCACCAUGCCCAGCUCAUUUUGUUUGUUUUUUAUCGAGACCAGGUUCUACCUCUGGGUCUUUCAGACAGACAGGUGCAGUCAGGCAGUGCACGCUGCUGUGACAGCAUGGGGCUGAGGUAGUGGGGGACUGGCAGGCAUCUGUGUCCCCUCCUUCCUUCAUGUGGCUUCAGGGCCUUUACCUGUGGCUAGUUAGGGUUUCAUCAGUGCGUGUCAGCCUUAGGGAAGUCCGAUGGCUUCCUGGAGAGCAAGGCAGACAGCAUGCAUUCUUUGAUCCAGCUUUCAGCAUCCCAGAGGGUCACUUCCGCUGUGAUCUCUCAGCUGAGACAGCCUCCAAAGCCUGUCCUGCCCCAGGGUUUUCACCAGGUCUCAGCAAGUAGAGCUCUCUCCAGCAGUGCAUCUCCCUUCACAGCUUCAGUAACUAACUGCCAAGUUCUCCCAACCAAGGGCAGAGCCUCAGUUGGAUACAGGAAGUUGACUCUGGGGCUCACGGCUACUGCCUGUCCUUCCUCCACCUGGGAAAGGGGACCUGUCUAAGUUGAAAACUGCUCUCCAGCUGGGCAUGGUGGCUCAUGCCUGUAAUCCCAGCUUUUAGGGAGGCAAAGGCAGGAGGAUAGCUUGAGCCCAAGAGUUUGAAACCUGCCUGAGCAAUAUAGCCAGACCCCGUUCUCUAAAAAUUAAAUAAGGUUGGGUGUGGUGGCUCUGAGAACUUUGGGAGCCUGAGGCGGGUGGAUCCCUUGAGGCUAGGAUUUUGAGACCAGUCUGGCCAACACGGUGAAAUGCAGUCUCUACUAAAAAUACAAAAAAUUAGCUGGGUGUGGAGGUGUGAACCUGUAAUCCCAGCUACUUAGGAGGCGGAGGCAGCAGAAUCACUUGAACCUGGGAGGUGGAGGUUGCAGUGAGCUGAGAUCACACCACUGCACUCCAGCCUGGGCAACAGAGUGAGACCUUGUCUCAAAAUAAAUAAAUAGGCUGGGUGUGGUGGCUCACACCUGUAAUCCCAACACUUUGGGAGGCGGAGGUGGAUAGAUCAUCUGAGGUCAGGAGUUUGUGACCAGCUUGGCCAACAUGGAGAAACCUCGUCUCUACUAAAAUUAGAAAAAAAUUAGCCAGGCGUGGUGGCACACCUGCCUGUAAUCCCAGCUACUCAGGAGGCUGAGGCAGGAGAAUUGCUUGAACCUGGGAGGCAGAGGUUACAGUGAGCCAAGAUUGUCCAGCCUGGGCAACAGAGCGAGAUUCCAUCUCAAAAAAAGAAAUAAAUAAACGAUAAAUAAAUAAACUGCUCUCCAGAUGGUUUGAAGACGACAGGGAUGCAGUGAGAGGAGGCCCGCGGACCCCUAGCCAGACAACCUGGCUUCCAGACCUGGCUCUCCCGUUUCUAUUCGUGUGGCCUAAGUGUCAUUUCCUGCUCAAUCACAAAAGGCAGGACGCCUGCCCGGCCGCCUUUCACGGUUGUCAUGGGUGGAAUGUGAUGAAAUAUGUUAGAGUGCUUGGAACACUCGUUACUGCUCUUCAAAUAAAAGCGAUUGUGUGCGCUUUCACUCCUCAGAGUGCUGCAAACACCAGCUGUUUUAUAAAUAGUUGUGGAUUUUAAUGUAGAGGUUUCAUAUCAACCCCAGAAGGAGUGCCGCCCACUCUACCCUGUCACCCGGCUAGUCACCAGGGACACCACUGGGUCAAAUCAUGAAUGAGGGGCUGUGGUCUGUGUGGCCCCCAAAUAGCCAGUGAAUGAGGAUGGGAAAGGACAUGGCUGUGUGAACACACUACCCCAAAACUUAGUGGCUCAAUCAACAAUUUAGUUUUCUCUCUCACGAUUGUGUGGGUUGAUGGGGUUCCACUGACCAGUUCUUCCUCAGGGAUCUCUGUGUAGGUGCAGACAGAUAGAAGCUGGGGCUGUGGCCAUCUGAAGGCUCAACUGGGCUGGAUGUCCAAGAUGGCGACUCAGGAACCCUCCACGUGGCCUCUCCAGCAGUAUGGCCUGGGCUGCUGCUUUUUUGAGAAAGGGUCUUGCUUUGUUGCACUCCAGCACUAGCAUAAUCUCAGCUCACUGUAGCCUCCUCCCAGGCCCAAGCAAUCCUCCCAUUUGAGCUUCCCGAGUAGCUGGGACCACAGGUGUGUACAAGGGACCACAUGUGUGUACCACUACACCCAGCUAAGUUUAUUUUUUGUAGAGAUGAGGAGUCAUUGUUGCCCAGACUAGUCUCCAACUCCUGGACUCAAAUGAUCAUCCUGCCUCAGCCUUCCAAAAUGCUAGGAAUACAGGCCACUGCCAUCCAGCCCCAGGCUUCUUUUUUUUUGAGACGGAAUCUCGCUAUGUUGCCCAGGCUGGUAUAGUGGCGUGAUCUCGGCUCACUGCAAGCUCUACCUCCUGGGUUCAAGCACUUCUCUGCCUCAGCCUCCCGAGUAGCUAAGCUUACAGGCACCCACCACCAUGCUUGGCUAAUUUUUGUAUUUUUAGUAGAGAUAGGGUUUCACCAUGUUGGCCAGGCUGGUCUUGAACUCCUGACCUCAUGAUCCACCCACCUCGGCCUCCCAAAGUGCUAGGAUUACAGGUGUGAGCCACCCAGGCUUCUUAAAUGUAAGCUCCUGGCUUCAAAAGCAGGUAGACAUUGUCAGUUCUCUACAGAGUUCCAGGUGCAUUUGGCACAGAGUCACAAGCUGAUACCACCAUAUUCUUUUGGUCAAGACAUACCACAUUCAAUGGGGUCAUGGAGAAAGAAACUCCACUCGUCAGUGGGGCAAUGACAUGGAGGGAAGGAAGUGAUGCCUACUCCCUUUGGAGACAAGCUGCCACCCAGAAUGAGGGCCAGUUCCACUCCUAAGCCUAUCCAUCUGCCCGGCUUAGAAGGUUUGUCAUGGUGACAAUGUGGGAGUCCUGGCUUUGGGUGGAGAGUGUGGGGAGCAGCAGAGGCCCCUGAAAAGAAAAGCCGCUGAGCAACCUUACCCACCCCACCCCGACUGGUGCAAUGGGAAUUAGAGCUCUGGGGCGCCAACGUCAGGGCCAAGAUACAGAGGCCUGUCCCUGGCCACCGUCCAGCCUGGCCUCCCUCCCACAUCCUGACCACAGCUCUGACCAGGCAGUUGGGUGACUACGUGGGGGCGGCUUCUGAUUGUCCACCACACAGCUGCGCAGGCACAGGCGCCAAAGCGGGCCAAACAAGCCUUUCAUUGGACUGGCUAUCUCUUGGGUAAAGAACUGGCCACAGCCCUUUCUGUUUGCAUUUCUCAAGCCUGGUGGAGCCAGUGCCAUGCGCAGCCAGCCUCCCCGCUCCUGUGUGUUUUCUGGCCUCUCCCCUCCUCCUGCCACCUUGUAGCGGCUUCCCUUAAACUGGCACUGCUCCGGGCUUUCUGAGCUACUCCCCGCCCCAACAGCUGAUUUCUCCCUUUCUUUAUCCCUUUCUCCAUCUACUCUCUCAUUCUACCAGCAUCAUUGGGGACCUCAGAGUGGGUGGGAACCAGGGACGUUGGCAACCACCCUGCAAGGCUCACACAUAAAUGUUGGGCGCCGUGACUCGCGCCUGUACGAGUGCUCAUCCCAGCACUUUAGCAGCCGAGGCGGGCAGAUCACCUGAGGUCAGGAGUUUGAGACCAGCCUGGCCAACCUGGUGAAACCCUGUCUCUACUAAAAAUACAAAACUUAGCCAGGUGUGGAGGCACGUGCCUGUAAUUGCAGCUCCUGGGGAGGCUGAGGCAGGAGAAUCGCUUGAGCUGUGCUGUACUGGUUGGAUAGUGCUAGAGGCCAUGUGGUCAUGAACGAAGUUGAAAAGGUUUGCUAUUUGGCUGUUUACAGAAAAUGUUUGCUAAGCCGUGAAUUGGGGAGGUGGUGGGGCCUCAGUAUGGUCUCUGCAUGAGACGGUCUCUGCCUGGGCUCCUGAUAGAGGAGGGGAGAGAUUUGUGUUUCCAAUCAGAAACAGUUCAUUGGAUGGGGUACUGGUGUCUGUGUCCCAAUCCCGCGCACUGGUCUUCAGGAGGGAAGCAAGGUGGGGGUUCUGAGUGGUGCUGAGUCAGGACUGGGUCCUCCUCACCCCUUCUCAGGGGCUACCCUGCUCACUGAGCAGCUGCAGCCCCCCUCAGGCUUUGGACAGCCACCAGCGUAGGACAACUAGUGCCCCUCCCCUGCAGGUCCAGGCAGCGGCAGGAGGUCAGGACAGAACUUGUUUUCAGCACACAAGGAAUCCUGCCCCCACCAUACCCAGAAAUGUCUGCAGAGCCUGGGGCAGGAGGUGAAUUCCUGAGUGAGCCCCUAACACGCUCAUCUGAAAAUGCCACCUGUGUGGUGUGGGUGGCUGGAGAGGCUGGGUUCCCUGUCCUCCGUGCCCUCUCUCCACACUCCACAGAGAGAUGUCCUCAGGGUUCUACCCUCCUGUCACUGGUCAGAGUGACACUCAGGACUGCCCCAUUAGGAACAGCGGUGGUCUCUUUCUUGGAUGACUCUUCUUGCUCCUGGGGUACCCUGGGUUCUCCCCAGCCAUUCUCUGAGAUAUGGGAGGGGCUCUGGGGAAGGGAAGGCCUGCCCUGGACAGAUCUCAGCCACAUGGAGAGAUGAGAACAUGCAUUCCACCUGCAAGGGGCUUUCAAACAGCAACUAAGCCCGUAUAGAGGCACAUGACCCCAUUCCUCCUCACUGCCCGGUGAAGCUGUGCCAGUCCCUGGCACAGCUUUGUGCCUGGAGUAGUGCUGGCCAGGCUGGCCACUGUGCCACUGAGCCAUUGGCAUGCCCUGAGCCCCCAGUGGCACCAGCUCCUCGGGGAGGACGGCCUCUGUGCCCAAGUCUCUUAUUCUGAGAUGAGGGUCUCCCUGUGUUGCCUAGGCUGGAAUGCAGUGGAUAUUCACAGACUCGAUCACGGCUCACUGCGGUCUUGAACUCUGGGCCUCAAGUGAUCAUUCCGCCUCAGCCUUCCAAGUAGCUGGGACUACAGACACGAGAAGCCACCCACACUCACCUGACCAGCCGGAACCCAGGGGAGCCGGCCUUAAUCCUGGCUUCCCUUCGGCUCAAAAGAAUCUGGAUCACAACAGGAUGCCAGAGAAGAGGUGGCCACAAGACCCCAGCAGCGCUGUUCUCAUUUCGGGGGCUCCUCAGCCGAGAUCCCUCACUCUCUUCUGGAAUUCUUCUGGUUUCCUCACGGACGUCAUUAAAAUUUGUAUUCACUCAUGUAAUAAAUAUUUAUUGAGAA
Callithrix jacchus (white-tufted-ear marmoset) is the source of this 6489-nucleotide non-coding RNA. Lineage: Eukaryota; Metazoa; Chordata; Mammalia; Primates; Cebidae. The record is from RefSeq and is a predicted model, not a curated record.